Molecule: ribosomal RNA, 250 nt
Filed under: Calliphora vicina (urban bluebottle blowfly)
Lineage: Eukaryota; Metazoa; Arthropoda; Insecta; Diptera; Calliphoridae
Description: partial large subunit ribosomal RNA
Source: RNAcentral
ACGAGAAGACCCUAUAAAUCUUUAUAUUUAGAUUAUUAUAAUUUUAUAGAUUUUUUUUGUUAUAAUAAUCAAUGAUAUUUUAUUGGGGUGAUAUUAAAAUUUAAUAAACUUUUAAUUGUUAAAAUCAUUAAUUUAUGAGUAAUUGAUCCGUUAUUAGCGAUUAAAAAAAUAAGUUACUUUAGGGAUAACAGCGUAAUUUUUUUGGAGAGUUCAUAUCGAAAAAAAGAUUGCGACCUCGAUGUUGGAUUAA